RNAcentral lists this long non-coding RNA (1341 nucleotides) under Homo sapiens (human). RNAcentral describes it as "HSALNT0091907". The record is from RNAcentral. Lineage: Eukaryota; Metazoa; Chordata; Mammalia; Primates; Hominidae.
UUUAUUCACAAUUUUACAUAUAAUGUGUGGAAUGUAAAUGCAAUUUGUUUUCUACUAUUUUAAUACAUUUUUGACAAAAGAUAUAACUGAGGUUUGUACUAAAACAUACUUGGGAAAUUUCUGCAAAACAAAAUCUACCCCGAGUAAUAAAUGUUUGUCCUUUGUCCUUUGACUCCUUUGAAUGAUUGAGUGGAACAGUUGGAGAUACCUAAAUAGGGGUGGUUAUUAAAACAAGCUGUAUAGCUAAUUUCUCAAUUUCAGGCCUUUUCUUGGCCUUGCCUGACUAUUUUUGUUGCACAUCAUUAAUCUUGAAAAGCAUACUCACAGGGAAGCCACCUUAUGGAAGCAGCCCAACAGGAGCAGGUGUGUCCGUUAUUGAGCAGCCCCUGAGCACUGCUGAGGCCUUUGCUGUCGGCCACUGCUUCAGGGCUCAGCCUCUCACCAGAGCCCAGUUGCAUUUACCUUGCCAGUCAAAGCUUCCCUUUGCCUCCAGGAAAAAAAGAUUUUUAAAGGCCCCUGUGCUGACUACUUCCUGAAUCUCAGUUUGUAGUUGAGCCACCUGCAGUCAUGGAUGCCUUCUUCUCUAAUUUCUCUUGUUCACUUAAUAGUGAUGCCAUCAGGUAGGGUUGGAAGAUAAAAUAUGGGAUGGUCAGUUAAGCUUGAAUUUCAGAUAAACAACAAAUAAUUUUUAAAGUUAAGUAUAUCCUGCAUAAAAUUUGAGACAUACUUAUACUAAAAAGUUAUUUGUUGUUUAUCUUAAAUUCAAAUUUAACUGGGCAUCCUGUGUUUUGAUUUGCUAAAUCUGGCAAUGCUACAUUAGGGCCGCUUUCCAAAUCUUAGCAGUGAGGAAAGAGCUCAUACAACUCAAACUUUGUGGGAAGAUAUCACAAAAUAGUGUGGUUUAUCUUUCAGGAAUACCAAGUAUGCUUUUCUUGGAGUGACUAAGACUUUGAUAACAGGAAUAAUCACUGAAUUUGGGUCUUGGCUAUGACAAAACAGUGUUGAUGGAACUAAUAACUUAUUAACUGGCUCUGGCUGGGUGCCCCAUGGAGCUUCAUUUAAUCACCACAGAACAACAAUUUAAACUGCAGAAGAAGGUCAGUGACUAAUUCAGGCUCUAGAAUUCUUUUUUCUUUUUUUCUCCUAUGGAGAUGUGAAGAGCAGAACUAAAUGAAGUAGCCUCAGUUCUGAAAGUUGCUUGCGUCCAAGAAUAAGACGUGAUAUUAUUAAUAAUUUGCAGGAGAUUUGUUGUUAUAGCUAGCUGAAUCUGCAGAAAUUGGAGCAAUAUACUUAGAGGUAUCAAUAGAAAAAACAGUCUCACAAUGAUUUACAAUGCACAGU